UUUCUAUAAUACAUAAACUGUAAUGAAAUUCUAUUAAUUUAUAAAAAAUUCAUUAAUAUUGAUAAACAUCAAAUUAAGAGAGAAUCCAUAGUUCCAAACUACAUAACACACUAAAUCAACAUCUUCAUCCAAUUUAACAAUAAAUCCGAUAAUACAAUAAGAACAUCAUGAAGUUUAAUAGACAAACUAACUAUACUUUAUUCAUGUCUUCAUUAUCAUAAACCCCAUAACAUCAUCGACAUAUUGUUGUUCUUUUUUGAUGUUUUCAUUCGAAUUGAGACACUAGCAUGAUAUUUUUUUCCCUGUUUUGUGUAUCGGGUCGUCUAUCUAAAGCUUCAUUUUGUGGCCCGUAUAACCUCUUCAUAGCUGCAAAAAGCAAAAAAACUAUCAUGCUUUAACAUGUAGAUAGGAUGGCUUUAGUCAACUAGAAUGUCUUAGAGCUGAUUUGUAAAUAACCAAUGGAACAGUCAAAGAGUAUGAUAAAAGUAGGUGAAAUUGUUUUAAUCAAGGUAUCUCCUUACACACUUGAAGAUGGUAAAACGCAUGCCUGAUUGAUUGCCUGUAAUGGUGAUAUUUCACAAAGUUAAUGGUUAAUAUAACAAACUACCAACUUAAAGAUCUAGGUUCUAAAUAAGGCAUAAGUACAUGAAUUGAGAUUGAAGCCCUGUCCUACAUAAGAUAAGAAACACACUUAAGAUGUGGUUUAUAUACAACUUUCACAUAAUAAAUAUAAUCAACAUGAUAUUAAUUAAAUUAUGACUUGUUUAUAAUCUUAAAGAGUAUAACAACUUUCAAAAGGGAAUAACAUAUACAAUUUUCUACCUUUUUUAGUCUAUCACAGCAAGCAUUAUUAUACACAACUCAGAUGCAAAUUGUUCUCCAACCCUCUCAAAUGAUGCCCAAAUAGCAUGUCCCUCCAAAAAUUGAAAUAAUAUGGGUUCAAUUUCAUAAAUAUAGACCAAAUAUUCAAUGAAACAUAUAUCAAAAUCAACUUUGCUAGCCAGGAAACAAUAUUUGCUAAGUAAUCCAUUUAAUUGAAGACAUCGGAGGUGGUGGCUGGUGGGGCACCGAAUGUGAGAGACGUCCAUAAAUAUGCCCCCUAUUUAGAAAAAAAGGGGGUAGCGACUGUGAGUGUCGCCGACGAGAAACAGAGAGACACCGACAAGCAAUAGAAUGAAAGCAGGGAGGAGAUCGGCGAGAAAGAAAGGGACAACCUUACGAUCGUGAGGAGUGAAGUAGACGGCUGAAGAACGAGGGGAUGAAAAAAGUAAUCUAGGGUUUGUCGAUAAUUUAUGUUGC
Molecule: long non-coding RNA, 1299 nt
Filed under: Lactuca sativa (garden lettuce)
Lineage: Eukaryota; Viridiplantae; Streptophyta; Magnoliopsida; Asterales; Asteraceae
Description: long non-coding RNA (LSAT_LNC009330)
Source: RNAcentral